GAUGAACGCUAGCGGCAGGCCUAACACAUGCAAGUCGAGGGGUAACAGAAAAGCUUGCUUUUGCUGACGACCGGCGCACGGGUGCGAAACGCGUAUGCAACCUACCUCAUACUGGAGGAUAGNCCCUGGAAACGGGGAUUAAUACUCCAUAGUAUCACAAUUUCGCAUGUUAUUGUGAUUAAAGUUUUUCGAUAUGAGAUGGGCAUGCGUCCCAUUAGCUUGUUGGUGAGGUAACGGCUCACCAAGGCAACGAUGGGUAGGGGGCCUGAGAGGGUGGUCCCCCACACUGGUACUGAGACACGGACCAGACUCCUACGGGAGGCGGCAGUGAGGAAUAUUGGUCAAUGGAGGAAACUCUGAACCAGCCAUGCCGCGUGAAGGAUGACGGCCCUAUGGGUUGUAAACUUCUUUUAUAGAGGAAGAAACUUGUCUACGUGUAGACAACUGACGGUACUCUACGAAUAAGGAUCGGCUAACUCCGUG
This 483-nucleotide ribosomal RNA is filed under the name uncultured bacterium. Its description in RNAcentral is "bacterial SSU rRNA". It matches the Rfam family "Bacterial small subunit ribosomal RNA", at positions 28 to 507 of the family's 1533-position model. The record is from RNAcentral.